AUUCACGCUGAGGGUCACAAUGUGUGUUUAUGCCUUCUAAAAGCUCAGGCAUGGGCGGGGACUCAUGGUGCACACUGUUGCUCCUACACUGAACGUUGGACUCCAUGCCAACCACAUGUAUUCUUGCCAUGGGGAAGUAGUAGUUCUGAUUUUUCACCUCUUUCACCCCUGGGCAGUUAUUGGAGUUAAGGUCUAGGUUGUGUAGUCUGAAAACCGAGCUUGGGAAGAGAUGACGACUUAGGUCCAUGUCGGGUCCGACGUGCUCAGUGUGGAGCCAGCUGGCUGAGUGUUGGUCGGGAGGUUCAGGCCUAGGCUGCGUCAGACCAGGCAUUAGUUUUCAGGGUAUAUUGUAUAAUUGGGAUACAGUCGACUGCCGUGCAGGUUGAUCCUCAUUUAGCGUUUCUGGGUAGCCCCAAGGGCAACGUUUUUCUUCUGGAGGGCAGGCAGAGUGCUGCAUUGUGGCUCCGGAAUUCCCAAACUGGAUGCCCUGUGGGCAAGGAGUGUGAGGACCGAAGUAUAAGAACACAAGUUAGGCGUAGGUUUCGGGGCGAGGGUACAGCAGGCACUCUCUGCAGAUCUGAAUCGGGAAUUCGUGCAUCUGAAUUCAGGGCGUGUUUCAGACCUAGGCU
RNAcentral lists this long non-coding RNA (629 nucleotides) under Mustela putorius furo (domestic ferret). RNAcentral describes it as "lncRNA (ENSMPUG00000024870.1)". Lineage: Eukaryota; Metazoa; Chordata; Mammalia; Carnivora; Mustelidae. The record is from RNAcentral.